This 444-nucleotide ribosomal RNA is filed under the name uncultured bacterium. RNAcentral's name for it is "partial 16S ribosomal RNA". It matches the Rfam family "Bacterial small subunit ribosomal RNA", at positions 338 to 795 of the family's 1533-position model. The record is from RNAcentral.
CCUACGGGUGGCAGCAGUGGGGAAUAUUGGUCAAUGGAGGAAACUCUGACCCAGCAAUGCCGCGUGAAGGAAGAAGGUCUUCUGAGUGUUAAGUUCUUUAGGCAGGGGAGAAUAAAAUGACAGUACCUGAAGAAUAAGCUCUGGCUGACCACGUGCCAGCAGCCGGGGGCAUGCGUAGGGAGCAAGCGAUGUUCGGGAUGAAUGGGCGUAAAGGGUGCGUAGGCGGUUAUACAAGUUAGAAGGGAAAUACCCAGGGCUUAACUCGGGUGCUGCUUCUAAAACUGUAUGCCUUGAGUGCAGUCGAGGAUAGCGGAAUUCAUAGUGUAGCGGUGGAAUGCGUAGAUAUUAGGAGGAACACCAGAGGCGAAGGCGGCUAACUGGACUGCAACUGACGCUGAGGCACGAAAGUGUGGGGAGCAAACAGGAUUAGAUACCCUGGUAGUC